AGAACGAACGCUGGCGGCAUGCCUAAUACAUGCAAGUCGAACGAACUCUUCGGAGUUAGUGGCGCACGGGUGCGUAACGCGUGGGAAUCUGCCCCUUGGUUCGGAAUAACAGUUGGAAACGACUGCUAAUACCGGAUGAUGACGAAAGUCCAAAGAUUUAUCGCCAAGGGAUGAGCCCGCGUAGGAUUAGCUAGUUGGUGAGGUAAAGGCUCACCAAGGCAACGAUCCUUAGCUGGUCUGAGAGGAUGAUCAGCCACACUGGGACUGAGACACGGCCCAGACUCCUACGGGAGGCAGCAGUAGGGAAUAUUGGACAAUGGGCGAAAGCCUGAUCCAGCAAUGCGCGUGAGUGAUGAAGGCCUUAGGUUGUAAAGCUCUUUUACCCGAGAUGAUAAUGACAGUAUCGGGAGAAUAAGCCCCGGCUAAACUCCGUGCCAGCAGCCGC
Molecule: ribosomal RNA, 445 nt
Filed under: uncultured soil bacterium
Lineage: Bacteria
Description: bacterial SSU rRNA
Rfam family: Bacterial small subunit ribosomal RNA
Source: RNAcentral